GGNGGCGUGCCUAACACAUGCANGUCGAACGAGGUAGCAAUACCUAGUGGCAGACGGGUGAGUAACGCGUGGUCAACCUACCGUUGAGUGGGGGAUAACUAACCGAAAGGUUAGCUAAUACCGCAUACGUAUCCGGGGGGCAUCCCCUGGUUAUAAAAGGAGCAAUCCGCUCGAUGACGGGACCGCGUCCCAUUAGCUAGUUGGUGGGGUAACGGCCUACCAAGGCUCCGAUGGGUAGCUGGUUUGAGAGAGCGACCAGCCACACUGGGACUGAGAAACGGCCCAGACUCCUACGGGAGGCAGCAGUGAGGAAUUUUCCGCAAUGGGCGAAAGCCUGACGGAGCGACGCCGCGUGUGGGAAGAAGGCCUUCGGGUCGUAAACCACUGUCGAAGGGGACGAUAAUGACGGUACCCUUGGAGGAAGCCCCGGCUAACUACGUGCCAGCAGCCGCGGUAAGACGUAGGGGGCGAGCGUUAUUCGGAAUUAUUGGGCGUAAAGCGCUCGUAGGCGGGAUUGCAAGUCCGUGUUGAAAGACCUCGGCUCAACUGAANGGACCGGCUCGGAUACUGUGAUUC
Molecule: ribosomal RNA, 576 nt
Filed under: uncultured bacterium
Lineage: Bacteria
Description: bacterial SSU rRNA
Rfam family: Bacterial small subunit ribosomal RNA
Source: RNAcentral